GGGUUUUUAAUGACAAUCAGUUAAAAUCUGUCACAUAAACUAUCUGAAUCAAUUGAAAUAGACACUUAAGUGUUUAAAAAGUGUCCAAAAUCUUUCAUUAGAAGAACCUGAAAUUUGAGGCCAAAAUCAGCCCCUACCGGACCUUCUCCUUUCAUACCCAUAUGAAAGGGAAUGUGAGAAAGAGACAACAACCAGACCAAAGGGUAAAAACAUUUCAAGGCUACCAAAGGGUCUUCAACACAUCGAGAAAAUUCUGCACCUGGAGGCAGGCUUAAGGUGACUGCUUCCUUCAUUUACAACAACCAGGG
Molecule: long non-coding RNA, 308 nt
Filed under: Mytilus galloprovincialis (Mediterranean mussel)
Lineage: Eukaryota; Metazoa; Mollusca; Bivalvia; Mytilida; Mytilidae
Source: RNAcentral